GGUAAAAUGGCUGAGUGCUUAAGCGGUGGAUUGUACCCCCAUAGACAGAGGUUCAAGUCCUCUUUUACCA
Molecule: transfer RNA, 70 nt
Filed under: Pseudogobius fulvicaudus
Lineage: Eukaryota; Metazoa; Chordata; Actinopteri; Gobiiformes; Gobiidae
Description: tRNA-Tyr
Rfam family: tRNA
About the family: Transfer RNA (tRNA) molecules are approximately 80 nucleotides in length.
Source: RNAcentral